CAGAGCAGACAAUUUCCAGAACACGCCCGCCUGUUUCAGCAUCAGCUCCCAAAUUCUGGUCCUUCAACCACCCACACCUGUGAAACACAUUCCCAAGUCCCCCUCCCACCUACCUGAGCCUGGCAUGACCUCAGGACUAAAGCAGUGCAUUGGGAUUCUCCUUGCUGUUCAUAACCCACUGCAAGCCCAGAAAUGGGAGCAGCUUUUGCUCGUGGCAUCAGAUCUACCCCUGAUUCCCAAGAGAUUUGUGGCCUCUCCAAUUCAAUGUUCUGACCUACAACCCAAAAUGCAGGGUUGACCUAAGAGGUCAUGAAGGGCUAAGAGAAAUUUGGACAAAAGUUAGACCCCAGCCCAGCAAUGCCUAGAACCAGCUGCACUCUGAAACCUGCUGAAUCUUCUCUGCUAAGACCAUUCCAGGAGACCUUUUGCAGCUCAUUUUUCCCUCCCACAAGAAGUCCACAUCAAUGCUUAAAGUCUUUAUAAAGUGCUUGGAGUUCUACAAACUGCGCAGUGCUGGUGCAAAGGCAGGUGUUGAAAGCAGGGCUUGGGCUCUCUUUGGCCCAAAAUCUGCAGCUGAAUGUUUGGAUUUUGACUUGGCCACUCAUGCAGCAAUCAGUUAAAAUUUAAGCAAUGUCCAGAAGUCCUGUUGGCUCCUGUGAGGCCAAAGGACACAUCUGAAGUGAGGUGUGGGGUUAAAUCAGGUUUUCCAGUGGAGUCUAAUUGAUUCAACUCCCAGAAUACGCCUGAAUCUCUACACGUUUUCCAAAAAUGAGACUUGAAGAUGAGGUUACUUCACCUGGAUAAAGACUUGGAGGGUUUUAUGCCCAGUUUGUCUUUCCCAAAAGAUCAUGUUUUCCAUUAAAGGCAGACAUUCAGGAAAUUAAUGACUCCAAACUUCCACAAAUGUUGAAGCCAUGUAAAAAGGGACAGUGCCCCACAGUGCCACCCCCUCUGUGUCAGUGGCUCAUCCCUGACAAUGAUGGAACAGCUCCUAGUGCCACUGUGACAUCAGAAGCUCCUCGUGAGUUUGCAGAGCUUUUGAGAACUCCAGUUCUCUUCUGCUUAAACAAUCCUCACCUUAAAAAUGAGGCUGUGGAGAAUUCACUGCAAAUCCCUUUGCAUUUCCUCCGCGCUGAGGAAACGAGUGAGAUCAGCUCCAAACUUGCAGCGAGCUUGCCCUGCCAGAAAUAUUUGUGCCUGGACCAGCAAAGCCAACCUUCCCAGGCUGGCUUGGGAGAGCAGACACUUUGUUUUUUGGCUCCAAGGGAAAAUGUUGCCAGCUGCCAGCACUUAAACCAGCAGUGCUGCUGCUGCUGCUGAGCACGAAAUCAGCCAGGAUGACAUGAAAGGCAAGAGUGGUUCCUGCAGCUGGAGGAUGAUGAAGUUUGAAGGAGAGGCUCCGUGCAGGGAUCUGUGCUGGACCAGGGCUUGGGACCAGUGCAGCAGCAGCCUCCCAGUGCUCCCAUACCCAGCUAACAUGAAGGAAAAUCUCCCACUGUUUUCAGCCGAUUGUAACUCAAUUGUGUAAAAAAAAAAAUUUGCUCCAGGUGGCAAUUUGGCAUCUGCUUCCAUCUCCCCCUGCGGUGAGGGAUUGCAGGCACUGCUAACGAGGGGCUGAUUUUGCACACAGUGGGCCAGAUCCUGGGCUCCUGCAAAGCACAGGGAACAUGGUGGAGCAGGCAGCAGCUCGUUCCAGACCAGGGGAUAAGCCCCAGGAGUCUGUCCUUCCACUCCCUGUUGCGACAGCAGCUCGGAGCUGUGAGUUUUGGGCUGCAGCCUGGGGUUGCUGUUUGCAUCCGCAGCCUCUUUAAACAUUCUCGUGCCGUGUUAUCGCUCUGGAAUUCCAGAGUGCUGAGUCCCGGCCUCAAGCAGCCAGAGGAAUUUGCUCCCCAAGCAUUAAUGCCUUCUCCUUCCCCAGAAGGAUCCCCUGGGAUGGCUCCUGUUGUGCAAUGAGGGUGGGCUGGUGUCCUGCCAGGCCCCAGAUGCGGGUUUGGGCUUGGUCACCUCAUCCAGCUCUGGCACGUGAGAUGGGUGAUGGCACCAUCAUGGUCCAUGGUGGCACUGGGACAAGCCCAGGGUGAAGAACUGGGCACUGUGAAGGGCAGCAGCCUCUUCCAUCCCUUCCUCUCCAGGAGAAUCCAGGUUUGCAUCAACCCAUGCAGAGGCUCUGGGGGACAAGCCCCACAUCCUGGAUCCUCACUGCUAGUCCUCCCACCCAUCCUGAGGACAACACAGGAGGCUUCUCCACUCAGCUGCAGGACUCCUCACUGCAGCAGGAUUCCUGCCUGGGCUGAGCUCACAAGGAAGAAUUUGAAGUUGUACACACGCAAGAGCAAUACUUUAAAAAAAGAGGGGAAGAGAUAGAAAAGCUUCUGGAUGAAAACCAGGCGAAUUCCUUGAGUUUGGAGGAGGCUGAUCCACAUCUGCUUCCUGCAGGGGUUCCUGUCACUGCUGCUGCCUCUGCAGAAAGGCCGUGGGACAAACGGGGCUGGCGAAUCAUCCUGGGCGAGCUCCGAAGGAGCCAGCAAGCUUUUGCAGAAUCUUUUUGACGACAAGAGCGUUGUGCUGACAAAACAGCCCAUUUUCCCCGCUGCAACCCCCUCGUUAUCAGCCCCUGGUUGCAGGAGUGUUGGCUGACACUGCAGCGAGGCAGACGAGGAUUAUUAAGUUGUUGACAGAGAGCUCAUCCACUCGGAGCAGUUAUCGUGGCAGGGAGCAUCCAGCAUGCAGGCAGCUCCUGACAGGCUCUCUCAUCAGCCAGAUGCCGUGUGUGGGGGAGCCUCCUCAAGCCUCACACCCCGUUUUCCCCCCUCUUGUUGUGUUUAAAUGAGUCCCCCAGCAGCGUUAUGGUUGAUUUGCCCUGCAGAGAAAUUAAUGGGGACACGGCUGUAAAUAAUCUUGGAAAUGGUUCUUAGCUCACCCUCCAGGUGAGUCCAUCUCUGUAAGGGAUGUAUUUGGGAAAAUGCUGCUGUGAUUGCUCCAGGAAGGGCCAUGGGACCUUCGUGGAUGGGGAAAACCAGACCAAAGCCAGAACUUCACCUUGCCAAGACCUGCAUUGCUUUACUGAUUUUGGUAUAAGGCUCCUGAUUGCACCAAGUGGUAAAAGCCAUGCCAAAGGCCAGGAUUAGAGAGCCAAAGCACAGUUCAGUGCUGUAUUCCUGAGCUCAAUAAAUGUAUCCCCUCCUGGAAAUGCUGCUCAAUGUUAACAGGAUUACUGGGCCUGCUCAUCCAUCCAGGCAACCUCUCAGAGAGGGGUAGGAAGGAAGGAAGGAGGUGGGAAGGAUAGAAAAAAGGAGGAUGGAGGCUGGUGAAAUGUCCUUAAUCCUGCUCCUGUGCCCACUGGGACCCAGCACUCCCUCCCUGCUGCUCUGCCAUCCAGACAGUUCCACAAUCACAAGGAAGCAGCAAGACCAGCCCCAACCCCUGGUGCAGCACUGCAAAACUCAAGGUUUCACUUUGAUCUCUGCCUGGAAGAUGAAAAGUCUUAAUCAAGGCUGAGAGCACGUUAAACAGCAGACUCUGAAAUAAUUGGGCACUCCGGCCUCCUUAGGAUGAUGUGCAGGGGAAAAGGGACAACCAUGGCAUCCAGAUGAGGCACACCAUUGCAAAAAGCUGCAGAAAGCAGGAGGGAUGGAGAGGAGAGGGAUGGACUUGCUCCUGUGAUUGAAGAGAAAACAGCAGAGCCAACAUGGUGGUUUGUGUCACCUUGGCUCCCAGCACCUCACAACCAAUUCCACGUGCAACAACAACACACGAGAGUGAACAGGGAGGUUUGUGCCAUGGAAAAAGUGCUUUGCCCCAGACUGAAAACCUAAUUAGCAAUUAAAGAGGAAAGAGCAUCCCAUGAAGCAGAUAUACAGAUUCUUUUCCAGCCCAUCAGGUUUGCAGAGAGCAAGGGAGCAGCUUCUGGAGCAGCACAGGGCAGCGGGGCGAUGGACGGACGAGAGGAUCGUCUUCAAGAAUGGAAAGGACAUGAGACAAAAUGUUCUUGCUCGAUGUUGUAAACAAGCCUAAAGUGUUUUGAAAGACUCUGUCAAUAUAAAUUACUGACAAACAAGACAGUGGAAUUGCAAAAGAGGAGCCCAGCUGGAGGAAGGCUGCUUGCAGAGUGCCUGCUGCCCACCUCAGACUCUCAAUGCGGCAGCACCACUCUGCUGCCCUCCCACAUUCCUCUCUAUUCUUCUCCUCUCGAAUGGAGAAGAGGCAUCAAGUGCUCUGUGAGAGAUGAGUGCAUUAAAGCAUCCUCCAGCCCAGCUACUGCAGCCCUGACAGCCGAGGGAAUCUGCCAGCAGAGCUCUCUGUGCAGCGUUUCACGAUAAUUCCCUGUGCAAGCCCUCCCUGUGAGGGCUUGGGAGACUCGCUCAGCAGUGUCUGUGUCCCUGCUCCUCCCUGCUGGCAGCUCAUCCCCAUCCCCACAGCAUGGAUCAGGGAGCUCUUGGCAUCCUCCUGUGUGCUCAAGCCACGGGCAGGGAGCAGCUGUAAAUUCCCAGCCUCGGUUACCUGGUGUUAACUUUGUCAUCUUGUCUGGGACAGCAGCCAGAGCUCUGCCAGGAAGAACUGUGGCAGUGCCAGUCUUAGCUCGGCUGUGGACAGCCCAGGCAGCAAUCCUGGCAAAAAAAAGCCCAAAAUAGCGUAAUGCUGAUCCCUUACCCAUGGC
Molecule: long non-coding RNA, 4657 nt
Organism: Passer domesticus (house sparrow)
Lineage: Eukaryota; Metazoa; Chordata; Aves; Passeriformes; Passeridae
Exons: 4
Source: RefSeq, a predicted model, not a curated record